GUGCUCACUUUGAAAGCACAUAUACUAAAAUUGCAACGAUACAGAGAAGAUUAGCAGGGCUAAUGCAAGGAUGACAUGCAAUUCAUGAAUCCUUCCAUAUUUUU
This 104-nucleotide small nuclear RNA is filed under the name Catagonus wagneri (Chacoan peccary). The record is from RNAcentral. Lineage: Eukaryota; Metazoa; Chordata; Mammalia; Artiodactyla; Tayassuidae.